ACAAGCCCGGCUAAUCCUGCCUGCCAUCUUAGGCUCGCAGGAGCAAGAUACGCAAUGCAUGCAGCACACGAGCACCGGGGAAGGAGGAGGCAAGGGACAGCUCACCUUAAAUGCAGUAUCUGAUUAAUGUUGUAAGUGACAUUGCAUAUCAGCCUCAGAGUCUUGGUUCAACUGAGUAGGAGGGAACAAAGAAAAAUGUCAUCAACUGCUGAUGCAAGAUGAGCCCAAUCACUAAACACUGUUUAGCAAACUCCAAAUUCUGCAACCAGACAGUAGAAGGCAUUUCACACACUUAAGCAGAGCUGCUGCACACUGCAUGUGUCCUUCUGCCUCUGAGAACCAAUCCUUUUGCUAAGGAAGAAAAUAAGCUGGAACGAAUACAGUCAUAUCCUCUUCUUGAAGAAAGCUUUCAAUACAGUACCCAGGAAGACCAGGGUCAACGCGGACAAGGAGAAUUCUUUUGACUUUUCUCACUGGGAUUCAACAACACACAUUACAAUUUACUUUUAAAAGUUCAACUAGUAGAACAUCUGUUCAGAUUGAAGAUAAUGAUCUCCUGCAUGUUCCCAGAUGUUUGGGAUGCUCAGAACUGUGGGCUCCAAGAAGUCAAGAUGACCCAUGAUGAUCAUUAAAGGGAACCGAGUCACGUGGUGGUCUCUGGUGCCUCUCUGAUGUUUGAGGUCUCAUCUUUUUAUAAAGAGCUUGGUUCAGGAUUAGAAUCUUCCAACAUUAGAAAUUAAUGACAUUGCUUUGUUGUCUUUGUAUCAACGAUUAUAGAUACUUGCUAUUAUACAAAGGCAAGGUUGGUUUUUUACUGAGCGUGGGGGUGUACAAUUUCAGUUUAUAACAAAUUUAUAUAAAAACCAGAGACAACUCCAAUAAAAGUGUUCUAAUGGUACAAGAUUAAUUAGAGUUUGGAAGGAGUUCUCUGACUCAUUCUUGGUAUGGCUGAUUAUAUGUCAUUCAAUCAUUCUCAAUUGAUAAAUAAAUAGGGUUUUUGUUUUUUUCACCCAGGAGUUGUUUUAAAAAAUUGCUUUGCUGUUAGAACAAUGUUGCAAUGAAUAUCCUGACUUUUAUACUUUGAUUUCUAUAGAAUACGUUGUCCAAAGUGAGGUUUCCAGACCAAAUUAUCUUGUGUAUUUUUAAUUUUAAUAGAUUGUUUCCAGAUCAUUUUCAAAAAUGUUGAAAUGUCAUACUCUAAUGAGCAAUAUAUGAAAUGGAAUAUUCUCCCACA
This is a long non-coding RNA of Marmota monax (woodchuck), 1234 nucleotides long. RefSeq lists it as uncharacterized. The transcript has 2 exons. The record is from RefSeq and is a predicted model, not a curated record. NCBI's taxonomy places the organism in Eukaryota, Metazoa, Chordata, Mammalia, Rodentia, Sciuridae.